UACGUAGGGGGCUAGCGUUGUCCGGAAUCAUUGGGCGUAAAGAGCGUGUAGGCGGUCCGGUAAGUCCGCUGUGAAAGUCGGGGCUCAACCCUCGAAUGCCGGUGGAUACUGUCGGGCUAGAGUGCGGAAGAGGCGAGUGGAAUUCCUGGUGUAGCGGUGAAAUGCGCAGAUAUCAGGAGGAACACCUAUUGCGAAGGCAGCUCGCUGGAACGGUACUGACGCUGAGGCGCGAAAGCGUGGGGAGCGAACAGG
This 252-nucleotide ribosomal RNA is filed under the name uncultured bacterium. RNAcentral's name for it is "partial 16S ribosomal RNA". It matches the Rfam family "Bacterial small subunit ribosomal RNA", at positions 524 to 776 of the family's 1533-position model. The record is from RNAcentral.